Molecule: ribosomal RNA, 483 nt
Filed under: uncultured bacterium
Lineage: Bacteria
Description: partial 16S ribosomal RNA
Rfam family: Bacterial small subunit ribosomal RNA
Source: RNAcentral
UUGAACGCUGGCGGAAUGCUUUACCCCUGCAAGUCGCACGGCAGCACGGGGGCAGCCCUGGUGGCGAGUGGUGAACGGGUGAGUAAUACAUCGGAACGUGCCCGGUCGUGGGGGAUAACGUAGCGAAAGUUACGCUAAUACCGCAUACGAUCUGAGGAUGAAAGCGGGGGACCUUCGGGCCUCGCGCGAUCGGAGCGGCCGAUGUCAGAUUAGGUAGUUGGUGGGGUAAAGGCCUACCAAGCCGACGAUCUGUAGCUGGUCUGAGAGGACGACCAGCCACACUGGGACUGAGACACGGCCCAGACUCCUACGGGAGGCAGCAGUGGGGAAUUUUGGACAAUGGGCGCAAGCCUGAUCCAGCCAUUCCGCGUGCAGGACGAAGGCCUUCGGGUUGUAAACUGCUUUUGUACGGAACGAAAAGGCUCUGGCUAAUACCUGGGGCUCAUGACGGUACCGUAAGAAUAAGCACCGGCUAACUACGUG